Molecule: non-coding RNA, 75 nt
Organism: Cordylochernes scorpioides
Lineage: Eukaryota; Metazoa; Arthropoda; Arachnida; Pseudoscorpiones; Chernetidae
Source: the annotation of a GenBank genome assembly
UCCGAAAUUGAGCUCCGUUGGGAGAAUGUUCAACUGAAACUCUAAAGGUCCCUGGUUCGAUUCCGGGUUUCGGCA